Molecule: ribosomal RNA, 433 nt
Filed under: uncultured bacterium
Lineage: Bacteria
Description: partial 16S ribosomal RNA
Rfam family: Bacterial small subunit ribosomal RNA
Source: RNAcentral
AACGAACGCUGGCGGCAUGCCUAACACAUGCAAGUCGAACGAAACCUUCGGGGCUAGUGGCGCACGGGUGCGUAACGCGUGGGAACCUGCCCUUAGGUUCGGAAUAACUCCCCGAAAGGGGUGCUAAUACCGGAUAAUGUCUUCGGACCAAAGAUUUAUCGCCUUUGGAUGAGCCCGCGUUGGAUUAGCUAGUUGGUAGGGUAAAAGCCUACCAAGGCGACGAUCCAUAGCUGGUCUGAGAGGAUGAUCAGCCACACUGGGACUGAGACACGGCCCAGACUCCUACGGGAGGCAGCAGUGGGGAAUAUUAGACAAUGGGCGAAAGCCUGAUCCAGCAAUGCCGCGUGAGUGAUGAAGGCCUUAGGGUUGUAAAGCUCUUUUAGCCGGGAUGAUAAUGACAGUACCGGGAGAAUAAGCCCCGGCUAACUCCGUG